RNAcentral lists this transfer RNA (58 nucleotides) under Dipodomys ordii (Ord's kangaroo rat). It matches the Rfam family "tRNA", at positions 8 to 63 of the family's 71-position model. From Rfam's summary of the family: Transfer RNA (tRNA) molecules are approximately 80 nucleotides in length. Their secondary structure includes four short double-helical elements and three loops (D, anti-codon, and T loops). Further hydrogen bonds mediate the characteristic L-shaped molecular structure. tRNAs have two regions of fundamental functional importance: the anti-codon, which is responsible for specific mRNA codon recognition, and the 3' end, to which the tRNAs corresponding amino acid is attached (by aminoacyl-tRNA synthetases). tRNAs cope with the degeneracy of the genetic code in two manners: having more than one tRNA (with a specific anti-codon) for a particular amino acid; and 'wobble' base-pairing, i.e. permitting non-standard base-pairing at the 3rd anti-codon position. The record is from Rfam by way of RNAcentral. Lineage: Eukaryota; Metazoa; Chordata; Mammalia; Rodentia; Heteromyidae.
UGGCUCAGUGGUAGAGCGCUUGCCUUGCGUGCAUGAGGCCCUGGGUUCGAUUCCUCAG